UUCCGGUUGAUCCUGCCGGAGGUUACUGCUAUCGAGGUUCGACUAAGCCAUGCGAGUCGAAUGUAGCAAUACAUGGCGAACUGCUCAGUAACACGUGGACAACCUGCCCUUAGGACGGGGAUAAACCCGGGAAACUGGGUAUAAUACCCGAUAGGUCUCGAUUGCUGGAAUGCAUCGAGAUUUAAAGCUCCGGCGCCUAAGGAUGGGUCUGCGGCCUAUCAGGUAGUAGUGGGUGUAGCGUACCUACUAGCCUACGACGGGUACGGGUUGUGAGAGCAAGAGCCCGGAGAUGGAUUCUGAGACACGAAUCCAGGCCCUACGGGGUGCAGCAGGCGCGAAAACUUUACAAUGCUGGCAACAGCGAUAAGGGAACCUCGAGUGCCAGGUUACAAAUCUGGCUGUCGAGAUGCCUAAAAAGCAUUUCAUAGCAAGGGCCGGGCAAGACCGGUGCCAGCCGCCGCGGUAACACCGGCGGCUCGAGUGGUAACCGUUAUUAUUGGGUCUAAAGGGUC
RNAcentral lists this ribosomal RNA (512 nucleotides) under uncultured archaeon. Its description in RNAcentral is "bacterial SSU rRNA". It matches the Rfam family "Archaeal small subunit ribosomal RNA", at positions 1 to 519 of the family's 1478-position model. The record is from RNAcentral.